UACGGAGGAUGCAAGCGUUAUCCGGAUUGACUGGGCGUAAAGCGCACGCAGGCGGAUGCGCGCGUGGGGUGUGAAAUCUGGCCGCUUAACGGCCAAGCGCCAUCCCAUACGGCGCGUCUGGAGUGAUGCAGAGGUCGAUGGAAUUGCCGGUGUAGUGGUGAAAUGCGUAGAGAUCGGCAGGAACACCCAGGGGGAAACCAGUCGACUGGGCAUCUACUGACGCUGAGGUGCGAGAGCGUGGGGAGCGAACCGG
This 253-nucleotide ribosomal RNA is filed under the name uncultured bacterium. RNAcentral describes it as "partial 16S ribosomal RNA". It matches the Rfam family "Bacterial small subunit ribosomal RNA", at positions 524 to 776 of the family's 1533-position model. The record is from RNAcentral.